CACGUAGGGGGCGAGCGUUGUCCGGAUUUAUUGGGCGUAAAGAGCUCGUAGGCGGCUCAGUAAGUCGGGUGUGAAACCUCCAGGCUCAACCUGGAGACGCCACCUGAUACUGCUGUGGCUAGAGUCCGGAAGAGGCGAGUGGAACUCCUGGUGUAGCGGUGGAAUGCGCAGAUAUCAGGAAGAACACCAACGGCGAAGGCAGCUCGCUGGGACGGUACUGACGCUGAGACGCGAAAGCGUGGGGAGCGAACAGG
RNAcentral lists this ribosomal RNA (254 nucleotides) under uncultured bacterium. RNAcentral's name for it is "partial 16S ribosomal RNA". It matches the Rfam family "Bacterial small subunit ribosomal RNA", at positions 524 to 776 of the family's 1533-position model. The record is from RNAcentral.